GAACGCAUAUUGCACCCUCAGGUCUUUUCCAGAGGGUAUGCCUGUUUGAGUGUCAUGAACACUUCAACUCUCAUGGUUUGCCAUGAUGAGCUUGGACUUUGGAGGUCUUGCCGGCCUGCAGUCGGCUCCUCUCAAAUGGAUCAGCUUGCCAGUGUUUGGUGGCAUCAUGGGUGUGAUAACUAUCUACGCCUGUGGUUUUCCACUGGAUAACCUUCAGUGAUGGAGGUUCGCUGGAGCUCAUAAAUGUCUCUCCUCAGUGAAGACAGCCUUUUGAACGUUUGAUCUCAAAUCAGGUAGGACUACCCGCUGAACUUAAG
Molecule: unclassified non-coding RNA, 317 nt
Filed under: uncultured Tomentella
Lineage: Eukaryota; Fungi; Basidiomycota; Agaricomycetes; Thelephorales; Thelephoraceae
Description: sequence contains 5.8S rRNA gene
Source: RNAcentral